This 301-nucleotide ribosomal RNA is filed under the name uncultured bacterium. RNAcentral's name for it is "partial 16S ribosomal RNA". It matches the Rfam family "Bacterial small subunit ribosomal RNA", at positions 509 to 809 of the family's 1533-position model. The record is from RNAcentral.
CAGUAGCCGCGGGAAAACGAAGGGUGCAAGCGUUACUCGGAAUUACUGGGCGUAAAGCGUGCGUAGGUGGUGGUUUAAGUCCGUUGUGAAAGCCCUGGGCUCAACCUGGGAAUUGCAGUGGAUACUGGGUCACUAGAGUGUGGUAGAGGAUAGUGGAAUUUCCGGUGUAGCAGUGAAAUGCGUAGAGAUCGGAAGGAACAUCUGUGGCGAAGGCGACUAUCUGGGCCAACACUGACACUGAGGCACGAAAGCGUGGGGAGCAAACAGGAUUAGAUACCCCGGUAGUCCCUGUCUCUUGUAA